UGGGAGCUUGCUCCUCGUAUUUGCAGGGGCAGGGUGAGUAACACGUGGGUAACCUGCCUGUAAGACUGGGAUAACUCCGGGAAACCGGGGCUAAUACCGGAUGGUUGUUUGAACCGCAUGGUUCAAACAUAAAAGGUGGCUUCGGCUACCACUUACAGAUGGACCCGCGGCGCAUUAGCUAGUUGGUGAGGUAACGGCUCACCAAGGCAACGAUGCGUAGCCGACCUGAGAGGGUGAUCGGCCACACUGGGACUGAGACACGGCCCAGACUCCUACGGGAGGCAGCAGUAGGGAAUCUUCCGCAAUGGACGAAAGUCUGACGGAGCAACGCCGCGUGAGUGAUGAAGGUUUUCGGAUCGUAAAGCUCUGUUGUUAGGGAAGAACAAGUACCGUUCGAAUAGGGCGGUACCUUGACGGUACCUAACCAGAAAGCCACGGCUAACUACGUGCCAGCAGCCGCGGUAAUACGUAGGUGGCAAGCGUUGUCCGGAAUUAUUGGGCGUAAAGGGCUCGCAGGCGGUUUCUUAAGUCUGAUGUGAAAGCCCCCGGCUCAACCGGGGAGGGUCAUUGGAAACUGGGGAACUUGAGUGCAGAAAGAGGAGAGUGGAAUUCCACGUGUAGCGGUGAAAUGCGUAGAGAUGUGGAGGAAACACCAGUGGCGAAAGGCCACUCUCUGGUCUGUAACUGACGCUGAGGAGCGAAAGCGUGGGGAGCNAACAGGAUAAAUACCCUUGUUAUCCACCCCUUAACAUUAAUGUUAUUNNUUGGGGGUUUCCCCCCCUUAGUCUAACCCUUUACCCCCCCCCGGGGGAAUUGGGCCCAAACUAAAACUAAAGAAAUUGAGGGGGCCCCCACAACGGGGAUUUUUAUUUUCUAAAAACAAACNUCCCGCUUUAACUCNUUACAACAUAAAAUAANCNCCUUUGGGGAGAGAGGUGUGUGUGUUUUUCUNUUNUAAAUGUGAUUCUCAACACACNCUUNCUACCUUUCUAAUAUCUGACAA
This 1003-nucleotide ribosomal RNA is filed under the name bacterium NTN12. Its description in RNAcentral is "bacterial SSU rRNA". It matches the Rfam family "Bacterial small subunit ribosomal RNA". The record is from RNAcentral.